Non-coding RNA from Delphinapterus leucas (beluga whale), 455 nucleotides. The record is from RefSeq and is a predicted model, not a curated record. NCBI's taxonomy places the organism in Eukaryota, Metazoa, Chordata, Mammalia, Artiodactyla, Monodontidae.
CCGCCCACACACGUUGGCGCUGGUGCCAGUUUUGUGGCUGGAGCGGGGCAGUCCUUGGGCACAGGGAGAUACAAAUGCUCCGAGGCACAUCUCAGGCUCCUGAUACACCUCCGCACCAGGCCAGUCCAUACUCUCUGCCAACUGCUGACACAACUGAAAACCUUACCCUUGGUGGCCGGGAGGGGCGGCGUGGGGGAACGGAACGGACUGGGAGGCCGCUGUGUCUGUCCUCACUUGCUUUUUUAAGGAACUUACUCCCCAAGAUGCCAUCUGUGGCCCUUCCGAGCGUCCGAUCCACAGAAAUGGAGGAGCCCAUGGCCCCUCCCGCCCAGAGCUGCCCAACCCAGGCCAGAGCCAGUGGGAGAGAGUGCGAGAGUGAGUGGCCUGGAGGACUGCGGGUACCAGGGGACGUGGGUUCGAGCCCUGGUCCAGGAAGAUCCCACAUGCCGCGGAGC